RNAcentral lists this ribosomal RNA (253 nucleotides) under uncultured bacterium. RNAcentral's name for it is "partial 16S ribosomal RNA". It matches the Rfam family "Bacterial small subunit ribosomal RNA", at positions 524 to 776 of the family's 1533-position model. The record is from RNAcentral.
GACAGAGGUGCCGAGCGUUAGGCGGAAUCACUGGGCUUAAAGCGUGUGUAGGUGGAUGCCUAAGUACCUUGUGAAAUCCCACGGCUUAACCGUGGAACGGCUUGGUAUACUGGGUGUCUUGAGCCAGCUAGGGGCUACCGGAACAAACGGUGGAGCGGUGAAAUGCGUAGAUAUCGUUUGGAACGCCAAUGGUGAAAACAGGUAGCUGGGGCUGUGCUGACACUGAGACACGAAAGCCAGGGGAGCGAACGGG